UACGGAGGGUGCAAGCAUUAAUCGGAUUCACUGGGCGUAAAGGGCGCGUAGGCGGGUCAACAAGUCAAAUGUGAAAUUCCGGAGCUCAACUUCGGAGCGGCAUUUGAAACUGUCGACCUAAAGAGGGAUGGCGGAGAAAACGGAAUUCCACAUGUAGCGGUGAAAUGCGUAGAUAUGUGGAAGAACACCAGUGGCGAAGGCGGCUUUCUGGCCUGUUCUUGACGCUGAGGCGCGAAAGCUAGGGUAGCAAACGGG
RNAcentral lists this ribosomal RNA (255 nucleotides) under uncultured prokaryote. RNAcentral describes it as "partial 16S ribosomal RNA". It matches the Rfam family "Bacterial small subunit ribosomal RNA", at positions 524 to 776 of the family's 1533-position model. The record is from RNAcentral.